Gallus gallus (chicken) is the source of this 2693-nucleotide long non-coding RNA. RefSeq lists it as uncharacterized. The record is from RefSeq and is a predicted model, not a curated record. The transcript is spliced from 4 exons. Lineage: Eukaryota; Metazoa; Chordata; Aves; Galliformes; Phasianidae.
CUUGUGCUUUGCUCCUGGUACUCUUAGGGAAAGUUGUCUUAGACUCUCUUUUCUUCCAGAAUGAGAAAUGCUUUAAAAUCCAGAAUAACUGCACUCACAGUUAGAUUGUACCCAUCUGUUCUUGUGUUAGCAUUUCCCUAAGCUUAAAUAGCACUUCUUUUUCUAAUACAUUUAUAGAAUACAGUUGUAACCCUCUCUUUGUUUGGCCUAACCAUGCUGGCUCAGCGCUUCCUCUCCCUUGUAGGAUUUCUCCAGCCCUGAACAUUCUGAGCACUUUUUGCACCUAUUUCUGUUAAGCCUUCUUAAUUAAGAGGUAUUCUGGCUGUACUCAGUGUUCCUGAUGAAGACUGUUUGCAGCUUUUGGAAAUAUCUUGACUGAUGCAGCCUGAUACAUUUAAGCCCAUUUCUGUUAGACAUAGUAAGUGGAAAUUUCAGCAAGAGUCCCACUGACUUCAGAGGAUGAACUCCAUCACCUUUCUUUGCUCCCAGUGUCCAGACUUCAUUCUACCUAAAAAUUUCCUCAACUAAAGAUUUAGAAAAUAACAAAAGCUAGCAAUGUGUCUUUGCACAUAAUUAUGAAAUGAAAAAAUGGUAGUAUUUGUAAUAGGUACUGGUAAGACAGUUUUCUGAGAACUUAUGUUAAACUAGUUGAAUCAAAGAUAGAUCUUUUUAAAUUAAUGAAUAGAUUUUUUGACCAGCUUUAACAACAAUAUACCCAAAAGAUUUGUCAGAAAUGAGAUUAAGAAUUACUCUUUCACAUGAAAGAAUUCAGAUUUAUCUGCUGCUGGAUGCUGCAUUUGGCAUGAACUGCAAGCUUGCAAAAGGGUGGAGGGUUUGAUCAAAAGAUCCAGAAAAUUUAUGUGGGUAACCGAAGCCAAUCUAUUUGGCAAAACAUACAGAUAAUGUUACUGUCACAUUGUUUUGGGAUUCUUUGGUAUUGCAAGUUUUCCAAAAUAAGUUUGUAUUCAAUAAAUUGGAAUCAGCGAGUCAUAAUAAAAGGUAUUUCUCUGUAGGAAGAAACGAGCAGAGAAGAUUCAGGAUUUGAGGCUGCAGAGAACCUGUUUUACUACACUCCCAGUACAAAUUCUGGAAUCUAAAGAACUGUGCACCCAUGUGCUACACUGGCCACUUUUGAGAAAGUGACAGAUGGCACUCAGUAACAACUUGAUAGACCUCAAAUUGAUCUGUACCCUCCUGAUUCUUUGGAAUACUAUGCUCUUUGGAGUAUGCCCCUAAACAGAGGCAUCUCAAAAUACACCUGAAACUAUAGGUCACCAUACCUGGCACACAGUAAGCAAAAAUGGAAAUGAAAAACAUUUGUAUACUGAACAAUGCAAUCAAACACUAUCAUGAGAAAAAAAAUGAAGAAACUACGUUUCAACAUAAGAAACAUGCUGCAUGGUUUCGUACGAGUCUUCCAAUAGCUGUCCACCUCAUUUAAAUUCCAGAAGAACACACACCUGCAUCACUACACCGAAGAGAAUUAGCCCACCAGCGAUGGCAGGGAUCUCAGGGCUCAGACAUUUCCCCUUCCCAGAGAGGCCACUGGAGACAAGUGGAGAACAUUUAUCCACUGCCUGCUCCUGCUGGGGAAGGAAAAAAAAAACCUUGAUGCCCCCUGCUGCUUUCAGCUGAUGCUGGUUCUCCUGUAGCAUUGUGCCAUAGUGAUACUUUACAACUGCUAAAGCUUCCCAGCCAGUCAGAAAAAGCCAUCAAAACGUGCAGAUGAAAGAGCUACACCACUCUAUGCUGUUUACUGGACCAGCUGCUGUUUCCAUGUGAGUAAGAGCGAUGAGGCCAGCAAGCCCAGAUCAGUGCCACAUCCCUCCACCUUUCCCUCUAAGGAGGAGAGGACAGACUACUGUCAGUAACUAGGUGGGAAAGCAUCUGCCAUAUCACUAAUUCUUCGUAUCUGAUAUUCCCCACAUACCACGCAUACAGGAACAAUACAACAAGAAAAUCUAUAGCAUUCUUAUGAAGAUCACUCAUGUUUGUAACACAAAAUUUUAAUCACAAUUUUCAGCCCUAGGAGCUAAAUAAACAAUAUUAUCUAUCAUUCAAUACAUAUCACAGUAUGCUUGAAAAAUCUUUUCCUCCACUUAACAGAUACCCUUUCAGUCUCUCUUUAAAAGAAAUAUUUUUUGCCUACAGUUCUUGUGUUUGGUCUGUAGCCAGAGGAAAAUAUUUCGGGAAAGUGUGAGGCCAUUUGGACAAGACAUCCCUGGGAAACUGGACUGAAAAAAAAAGGAGGUGUUGUCACUUGUCACUUCAGAAAAAAAAUUGCGUUCCUUCUCCCUUUUCUUACAUAUAGGCAUGUCUUCAAAAUCUGAGUUGGCAGAUAAACUCCAAUAACGACCUUUUUUAUUAUCUAAGAAUCACAGAAUUUUCUCUUGUGAGAGGAGGCACAACUUUUGAAGAUAAUUGUCAAACAAUCCAGACUGUAACUUAUCCAUCACAAGCAGCUUUGCAUCUAUCAUGUCACUCCUGUAUAUAUAAUUGGAUAGUAACAUUACAGAUCUGUUCAUGUACAGGAGGUUUAUCACACACAGAAGCAGCCUGCAUUCGCUAACAUCCAGCUAUCAAGACAGAAGUCGCCCAGAGAAACAGAUCUCUUCCACAUCCAUCACUACAUUGCAAUUCUGUAUGACAAGAAGGAAGUUCCACAAUCUGACCAAGCCACCCUUAAGAAAUUC